Molecule: ribosomal RNA, 379 nt
Filed under: uncultured Cryptomonadales
Lineage: Eukaryota; Cryptophyceae; Cryptomonadales
Description: partial small subunit ribosomal RNA
Rfam family: Eukaryotic small subunit ribosomal RNA
Source: RNAcentral
GCUUGUCUCAAAGAUUAAGCCAUGCAUGUCUUAGUGUAAAUAACUCUUAUGAAACUGCGAAUGGCUCAUUAAAUCAGUUAUCGUUUAUUUGAUGGUCCCUUACUACAUGGAUAACCGUAGUAAUUCUAGAGCUAAUACAUGCACAAAGGCCCGACUCACGAAGGGCUGUAUUUAUUAGAUUUAAAGCCGACAUCUUUUGGUGAUUCAUAAUAACUGUGCGGAUCGCGUUUUACGCGAUAAAUCGAUUGAGUUUCUGCCCUAUCAGCUUUGGAUGGUAGGAUAUGGGCCUACCAUGGCAUUAACGGGUAACGGGGAAUUAGGGUUUGAUUCCGGAGAGGGAGCCUUAGAAACGGCUACCACAUCCAAGGAAGGCAGCAGG